CAUGUCCUUUUGAUUUUAAUUUAAGGUCUAAUCUGCUCGAUGAUUAAUUAAAUUGCCGCAGUAUUUUAACUGUGCUAAGGUAGCAUAAUCAUUAGUUUCUUGAUUAGGAGCUGGAAUGAAUGAUUGGACGAAAUUAUUUCUGUCUCAUUUUGAGGUUUUUUUGAAUUUUAUUUUUAAGUGAAAAAGCUUAAAUUUAUUUAAAAGACGAGAAGACCCUAUAGAGUUUUAUAUUGAUUAAUUUUUAGGAAUUUUUUUUAUAUUUGUUUGGGGUGAUUUGGAGACUUAAUUAAUUCUUUAAAUUUUUUAUUGAUGAUUAUUAAUUUUAAAUUUUAAUUAUUUUAAAAUUAAAAAAAUUACCUUAGGGAUAACAGCGUAAUUUUUCUUUAAAGUUCUUAUUGUAAGAGAAGUUUGCGACCUCGAUGUUGGAUUAAAAUUAAUUAUUGGCGCAAUAGCUGAUUAAUUGGGUCUGUUCGACCUUUAAAAUU
This 485-nucleotide ribosomal RNA is filed under the name Platerodrilus sp. UPOL 000586. Its description in RNAcentral is "partial large subunit ribosomal RNA". The stretch from base 364 to 485 matches the Rfam family "Bacterial large subunit ribosomal RNA", at positions 2473 to 2595 of the family's 2925-position model. The record is from RNAcentral. Lineage: Eukaryota; Metazoa; Arthropoda; Insecta; Coleoptera; Lycidae.